RNAcentral lists this ribosomal RNA (243 nucleotides) under uncultured bacterium. RNAcentral's name for it is "partial 16S ribosomal RNA". It matches the Rfam family "Bacterial small subunit ribosomal RNA", at positions 338 to 598 of the family's 1533-position model. The record is from RNAcentral.
CCUACGGGAGGCAGCAGUGGGGAAUAUUGCACAAUGGGGGGAACCCUGAUGCAGCGACGCCGCGUGAGUGAAGAAGUAUCUCGGUACGUAAAGCUCUAUCAGCAGGGAAGAAAAUGACGGUACCUGACUAAGAAGCCCCGGCUAACUACGUGCCAGCAGCCGCGGUAAUACGUAGGGGGCAAGCGUUAUCCGGAUUUACUGGGCGAAAAGGGAGCGUAGGCGGACUUUUAAGUGAGAUGUGAA